Molecule: non-coding RNA, 724 nt
Organism: Rattus norvegicus (Norway rat)
Lineage: Eukaryota; Metazoa; Chordata; Mammalia; Rodentia; Muridae
Source: RefSeq, a predicted model, not a curated record
GGCGCGCUUGACGAAGAAGAUGCUGUAAGCUAUGGGACUAUACCAGACCCUCCCAGGAACCUUUGUCAAGACACCCAGAACCUAUCUCAACAAACCUGAUCGAUUUCCUUAAACUCCGGUUUCAGGACCUAUCACCCACAUUGAGCAGCUCACACCAGUAGACUUAAAGAUCUACUCAUGUAACAGAAUCACCAAUGAGAGGAUGGACAAGUGAGAAGAGGCAUCUUUGCUUUUCCUCUUGAAGACAGAGAGGUUGAAAACUGUCCAAUCCGAUUUGAGAAGAAAGACUACACCACUGGGUGUGAAAAUCCACUUGUGUGAGUCCAAAGGUCAUGUUAGGGCCCCGGGGUUAGGUCUGUUGCCCUUGUGUUUUUACAGAACACCUAGCAAAGACAGUCUAAAUCCCAAGCACGACCUCUGAACCAAGGCUAACAGUAGAAUCUUUUAAGCUUGCAGAAAGAGUUCUCAUGUGAAUAAUGUUCUAAAAUGGUGUCAAUAUGAAAAUAUAAUCUAAAGUUCCUGAACUGACCCUAACCUCCUGAGAAGACAUGAGAAAAAGCCAUGUGUAUGCAAAGAGGAAAGAGGAGGGUCAUGUGUAGACCAACAAUGUGUGACUAUUUAUUGAAAAUUAAGGGGGGAAAAAGUCAACAUUUGCUGGAUACUAAGAUACCAUUUCCUAGGUGAGGUGUGUACAUGCUGCUGUUUUUAGGGUGGUGUUCCCACA